RNAcentral lists this ribosomal RNA (689 nucleotides) under uncultured Microbacteriaceae bacterium. RNAcentral's name for it is "bacterial SSU rRNA". It matches the Rfam family "Bacterial small subunit ribosomal RNA", at positions 95 to 798 of the family's 1533-position model. The record is from RNAcentral. Lineage: Bacteria; Bacillati; Actinomycetota; Actinomycetes; Micrococcales; Microbacteriaceae.
GUGGCGAACGGGUGAGUAACACGUGAGCAAUCUGCCCUUGACUCUGGGAUAACUGCGGGAAACUGUAGCUAAUACCGGAUACUUUCCUCGCUGGGCAUCCAGCGGGGAAGAAAGAAUUUCGGUCAAGGAUGAGCUCGCGGCCNAUCAGCUAGUUGGUGAGGUAAAGGCUCACCAAGGCGACGACGGGUAGCCGGCCUGAGAGGGUGACCGGCCACACUGGAACUGAGACACGGUCCAGACUCCUACGGGAGGCAGCAGUGGGGAAUAUUGCACAAUGGGCGAAAGCCUGAUGCAGCAACGCCGCGUGAGGGAUGAAGGCCUUCGGGUUGUAAACCUCUUUUAGCAGGGAAGAAGCGAAAGUGACGGUACCUGCAGAAAAAGCACCGGCUAACUACGUGCCAGCAGCCGCGGUAAUACGUAGGGUGCAAGCGUUGUCCGGAAUUAUUGGGCGUAAAGAGCUCGUAGGCGGUUUGUCACGUCUGCUGUGAAAAUCCGAGGCUCAACCUCGGACUUGCAGUGGGUACGGGCAGGCUAGAGUGCGGUAGGGGAGAAGGGAAUUCCUGGUGUAGCGGUGGAAUGCGCAGAUAUCAGGAGGAACACCAAUGGCGAAGGCACUUCUCUGGGCCGUAACUGACGCUGAGGAGCGAAAGCGUGGGGAGCGAACAGGAUUAGAUACCCUGGUAGUCCAC